RNAcentral lists this transfer RNA (21 nucleotides) under Tiliqua rugosa (stump-tailed skink). RNAcentral's name for it is "partial tRNA-Ser". Lineage: Eukaryota; Metazoa; Chordata; Lepidosauria; Squamata; Scincidae. The record is from RNAcentral.
CUCUGCGCCCUGAGGUUAAAC